UACGGAGGUGGCAAGCGUUGUUCGGAAUUACUGGGCGUAAAGGGCGCGUAGGCGGCUAGGCAAGUCAGGUGUGAAAGCCCCGAGCUUAACUCGGGAAUUGCAUCUGAAACUGCUGUGCUUGAGUUCUGGAGGGGGUAGUGGAAUUCCCAGUGUAGCGGUGAAAUGCGUAGAUAUUGGGAGGAACACCUGCGGCGAAGGCGGCUACCUGGACAGAAACUGACGCUGAGGUGCGAAAGCGUGGGGAGCAAACAGG
Molecule: ribosomal RNA, 253 nt
Filed under: uncultured bacterium
Lineage: Bacteria
Description: partial 16S ribosomal RNA
Rfam family: Bacterial small subunit ribosomal RNA
Source: RNAcentral